GUAGAUAUAUUUAAUAGGUAUUAAUAAAUGUUCAGCCAGACAUUAGGAAAUAGUUCGAUUCUCUUUAUCUACA
RNAcentral lists this transfer RNA (73 nucleotides) under Hericium erinaceus (lion's mane mushroom). RNAcentral describes it as "tRNA-His". The record is from RNAcentral. Lineage: Eukaryota; Fungi; Basidiomycota; Agaricomycetes; Russulales; Hericiaceae.